GGAUCUCCCGGGAUACCGUCUCGUAGUCCCAAAUAUAAAUGUGCAGGGGAAUAUCCUGGAAUAUCGUUCCGUAGUCCCAAAGUAAAUAUUCAAUCAAAUCAAUAUAUACAACAGUCUCAAGAAGGAAGUCUACAGUUCAAGUUUGUAUCAAAUAAAUAGGUAAUUUCUACCCUAAACAUAAUACACAGAAUCCAAGUAAACAAUUAAAGCAGGUAAGACAGUUAAGUCACGUAAGCAUGCUUUCCUAAGCUAAAUAGGAAGCUUCAUAUACUGGUAUUGCUCAAUUUAAAGGAAACCAUAGAUAUUUGCUUAAUGAAAAUGGGGGUUUUCAACAAUUAGCACAGGUACGCACUCGUCACCUUACGUACACGGCAUUCAUAUAACAACAGUACCAAAAUCCUAAGGAGAUUUCCCCCACACAAGGUUAGGCAAGCCACUUACCACGAACCAAGCUAAAAUCAAUCCUAGGUAAGCCUAAUCAAUUUUGGGAAAAAUGAAUUAAGGUUACAAAACUAGCCAAUUAACAGGUAAAUAUGAUAAAAAGUUUAAAAUGCCGCUCGGCAUAUACAAUAAUAACACUCUCGACUGAACAUAGCACUCCCAAAACCCGAAAUCUCAUGAAUCACAAACUAAAGAAAAAUACAGAGUGUUCUCACUCCAGAAGUCUAAACAAAGUAAAAUACAAGAAGUCUAUAACUGAAGGGAGAAUAGAGAGGGAAUUCUAGGUCUGCGGACGUGGCAUAUAUAACUCGUAGUCUUUGGAUCACCUCGCCUCAAGGAUAGUAUGGCUGAGCAGAAGAACCUGGAUCUGUACACGAAAAACAUGUGCAGGAAAGGGCAUGGGUACACCACAACGGUACCCAGUAAGUGCCAAGCCCAACCUCGGUCGAGUAGUGACGAGAUUAGGUCAGGGCCCUAUAGAUUAUAUAUAUAUAUAUAUAACAAGGUAAAAUAGUAUGAAAGGUGAUAGUAUAAUUAAGAUACUAUCAGUCAAUAAAGAUGAAAUCACAGAAAGAAAUAACUCGGUACAAAGAGAUAGCAGCAGGGGAUCUCCCAGGAUAACGUCCCGUAUUCCUAAACGUAAAUGUACAGAGGAUCUUCCAGGAUACCUUCCCGUAAUUCAAAUCAUAAAUGUGCAAGGGGAUUUCCCGGAAUACCAUUCCGUAAUUCCAAGUAAAUAUCGAGUACAGGGGGAUCUCCCGGGAUAUCGUCUCGUAGUCCCAAAUAUAAAUGUGUAGGGGAAUAUCGUUCCGUAGUCCCAAAGUAAAUACUCAAUCAAAUCAAUAUAUACAACAGUCUCAAGAAGGAAGUCUACAGUUCAAGUUUGUAUCAAAUAAAUAGGUAAUUUCUACCCUAAACAUAAUACACAGAAUCUAAGUAAACAAUUAAAGCAGGUAAGACAGUUAAGUCACGUAAGCAUGCUUUCCUAAGCUAAAUAGGAAGCUUCAUAUACGGGUAUUGCUCCAUUUAAAGGAAACCAUAGAUAUUUGCUUAAUGAAAAUGGGGGUUUUCAACAAUUAGCACAUGUACGCACUCGUCACCUUACGUACACGGCAUUCAUAUAACAACAAUACCAAAAUCCUAAGGAGAUUUCCCCCACACAAGGUUAGGCAAGCCACUUACCACGAACCAAGCAAAAAUCAAUCUGAUAUCACGCCCUUGCCAUGAGUAUCCAACUCCGAGUGGCCCAAAUCUAAUCAAAUCAAUUACAUAACGUAAAUAAAACUACAAGCAACUAGUUUAGCUAAUGAAUUUAAAGCUAAGAUGAAAAAAUAGGAAAAUGCCCAAAAAUCCUCCCCGGGCCCACGUCUCGGAAUCGGGUAAAAGUCACAAAUUAUGAACAUCCAUUCACCUAUGAGUCUAACCAUACCAAAUUCACUCAAAUCUGGUACCAAAAUCUCGAUCAAAAUCCCAAAAUUAUGCCUAAGAACUUUUCUCAAUUCUCCCAAAUUUUUCAUCCCAAAUCCGAAAUUAAAUGAUAAAUUCAUGUUUAGAUUAAUGGGAUAUAAUAAAAAAAGAAUUAGGAAUCAUUACCCACAAACUUCCUCCGAAAAUCUCCAAAUUUUGCCUUCAACCGAGCUCUCAAUCAAUUUUUAAAGUUAUGAAUUCAAACCCUCAUUUUUGAACUUUAAAUUCUGCCCAGAUGAGUUUUUCUUCGCGAACAUGAGACUACUAUCGUGAACGCGAUGAACAAAAUUUCACUGGCACAAAUUCCUCCUUCGCGAACGCGAGGGUCCUCUUGCUAACGCAUAGCUUACACUGGCGGACCCUUCGCGAACGCGUAGGCUUAAGGUCCACACCUUCGCGAAUGCGGGAGCAUCACUGCGAACGCGAAGUACAACUUAGCUGCCUCUCCCAGAUGCUCUACGCGAACGUGAUGAAGGAUUCUUCUGCAAUAAAACACCAGAAAAUCUGCCACUUCCGUAAGUCCAAAAAUGACCCAUUGAGCAUCAGAAACACACCCGAGGUCCCCAGGACCUUAACCAAACAUACCAAUCAAUCCUAAAAUAUCAUACGAACUUAGUCAAAACCCUCAAAUCACAUCGAACAAUGCUAAAACCACGAAUCACCAAUCCAAACUUAAUGAACUUGAAAUUUAAAAAUUCUACAAUCGAUACCGAAACCAACCAAACCACGUCCGAUUGAUUCUAAAUUUUGUACACAAGUCAUAUUCAACACUACGAACCUAUUUCAACUUUUGGAAUUAGAUUCCAACCCCGAUAUCAAAAUUUCCACUAUCGGCCCGAUGUUCCAAAAAUUUAACUUUCGCCAUUUUAAGCCUUAAUAAGCUACGGACCUCCAAAACACAAUCCGGACACGCCCCUAAGCCCAAAAUCAACCAACGGAGCUAAUGGAAUCGACGGAAUUCUAUUCUGGAGCCGUCUUCAUACUGCUCCGACUACGGUCCGAAUUCUAUGACUUAAACUCUCAUUUAGGGACUAAAUAUCCCAAAACACUGCGAAACUCAAGAUGAACCAUCCUGGCAAACCACAAUAGCAGGAAAAGACACAGGGAAAGCAAUUAAUAGGGUAUCGGGGCGUUAAUUCUCAAAAUGACCGGCCGAGCCGUUACAAUUUGGCACAUUUGCUCCAUCAACAACUCAUCCUUCAGCAUUUUUAAUAACAUUAUAAAUGACUUAUUGCUCAACGACCCAUACUUUUUAUGUGAAGCAGUUUAAUCAAACUGGAAAGCUUUGAAAUUUUCGAAUUUUGGUGUAGUGGCUUUUCGAAAUCUUUUAACAGGCUGUAAAACCUUUUGGCUUCAACAUUCAGUUCCUCAAGUAAAUCAUUAUAAUUAACGUCUAUAGUACCUCCAUCAUGAUUAGGAUAUAAAUUCCUCAGCAUUUCAUGUAUUUCAUCCUCAUCCACGUAAUCUUCUACUUUAUUAUCAUCUUCAACUUCGCAUUCCGACUGUGGCUCACCCAAAACUUCACCGUGAUGAUACCAAAAGGUAUAAUUUCGAAUUAUUCCAUAUACUUUUAAAUGUAUAUCGACUGUCACAUAUUCCUAAUAGUGUUAUAACAUUUGACACACGGAUAACAUAUUUCAUAAAAUUCUCCUGUUCUUCUAAAGGUAUAAUCCAAAAACUUUUGCACCCCAAUUAAAUAGGAUUCAUCAAGUCGGUUAUCAACAAGUUGCAUCCAUUGCUUACUUGGUGUCAUAACCUUGAAAGUAAAUUAAAAAAAAAGAUUUAAAUAAUUAAGAUAACAAAAGUAUUAAGAUGCACAUUACUUAAAAAAAGUACUAAGACGCACAUUACUUGUUAUCAAACUUGUUACACUCAUCUUUAUGACUAAACUUCCUACGAUUUCACAAGAAUGAAAUAAACUACAAGUUGAUAUGCAUAACAUAUAAUACACAAUUGCUUAAGAAAAUGUGAAAUUAAAACACAUAAGACACUUCAUAGCUAAAUCACUGAGUUUCUGUCUUAAAUGCUAGAUGUAUAGAAAGCUUGCAUUUCAGCAAGGAUAAGCUAGUUCGUACAACUAGAAGGCCAAAGAUAUGUGAUUUUUAUUUUAAUAGAUUGGUGCAUACUUGUUACUUCAGGUGCUUGAAACUUAAGAAAAGAAUAAGCAGAAAAAUUUCCAUAGUAUUCUAUUGGUUCAGAGUGAUGCAGUGGCAUAAGUUGAGGUUCAUGCUCUUAUGGGCUCUGUAAGUUAAGUGAAAACUUAAAAUGGUCUUCUGUGUAGAUUCAAACAUCAUAUGUCAUUGAAAAACUGAUGCUACCACACUGAUGUAGACCGCUUAUAAACUGGAGUAAUUUUCUAGUUAAACGAUCUUUUCAUCUAACAACCAUUGCAGCCUUCCACACUUAACGAGUAUUAAACAAUUACUAGCAUAUAAUGGAAGUUUUAAAAUGGUGAUUCAUGGUCUAUUUGCAAUAUCGUCUAAGAAUCCUUUGUAUUGCAUCAUCAGUUGUUGACUUAGCUUGAUGAGUGGGUCUAGUGUAUGUUUUCUGCUUUGUAAAGCUUUGCAAGAAUCUAAGAUACAACAGCUUAUUAAAGGCAUCCUCUGCAAUAAAUCUAGAAAUAGAUAGCUGAUUAUUGAAAUCAUUAUAUGUCAAAUGGUACUGUUUAACUAAAGCCAACAAAGAUAGCAGACUGUAACUUAUCACAACUUAAUGUAAACAAAAACAACUACUACCCUUCGUCACAACCAAAUUAGGAUCGACUAUUUAUAUCCUCACUAUCCAUCUCAUGCCAUUUAAGACCGUAUCAGUCCAAAAUGAUCACAACUUAAUAUACCACCCAUAGAUCUAUUAUUACAAGAGGCUCGAAUAUGUAUUAAUUCCGGAAUUGUGUAAUGCAAAUCGCAAAGGAGAAAACUAUCGCAGAGACGAAACUCUAGAAGAAAACUCAAAUUUCUCCUCCUUGACCUAUGAGCCCCAUCUUUAAACCAAUACUCUCAGUUUUAUCGCUCACACAAUAACUAUCAGUACUCUAAACAACCAAAUUGCAAAAAACAACUAAAGAAACAGAAAAUUGCAGAACCCGAUUUACGAUUUCUGGUUCAAUAAAAAAAAUGCAAGAUGAAAAAAAAUGAAAACGAAGCAGAUAAAAGAGAAAGAAAUUAAACUUACUCUUGAUAGGCAGAUAAUCCAAUAGUAGAGUUUGUGUAAAGUCCCUUGGAGAGAGAUCAAAAUUUUGACGCCAAAGUUCGGAGUGAUGAAUUUUGCAAGCUUCUGAAUUCUGACAGAUGAAUUUUGCAACCUUUGUGAACUUAGAAAAGAAUUGAAGUUGCUGCAUAAUUAGGGAUUGUAGCAUGAAAGUAAUAUUUUUGGAGAGAUUUUAGGAUGAAAGUGAAUGUCUAGCGAGAUUUCACAGUGAAUAUAUUUUAGGAGGGUUUUAUUUGCUUUACUUUCAGAUUUCCGCCCCU
Molecule: long non-coding RNA, 5375 nt
Filed under: Nicotiana tabacum (common tobacco)
Lineage: Eukaryota; Viridiplantae; Streptophyta; Magnoliopsida; Solanales; Solanaceae
Description: long non-coding RNA (NTAB_LNC001374)
Source: RNAcentral